CUACGGGAGGCAGCAGUCGAGAAGCUUCGGCAAUGGGCGAAAGCCUGACCGAGCGACGCCGCGUGAGCGAUGAAGGCCCUAGUGGUUGUAAAGCUCUGUCAGAUUGGGACGAAUACCUGGCGGUUAAUACCCGUCAGGUUUGACGGUACCUUCAGAGGAAGCACCGGCUAACUACGUGCCAGCAGCCGCGGUAACACGUAGGGUGCAAGCGUUGUUCGGAUUCACUGGGUAUAAAGGGUGUGUAGGCGGCUUGAUAAGUCAGAGGUGAAAUCUACCGGCUCAACCGGCAAAUUGCCUCUGAAACUGUCAGGCUUGAGUCCGAGAGAGGAAGGUGGAAUUCCUGGUGUAGCGGUGAAAUGCGUAAAUAUCAGGAGGAACACCGGUGGCGAAGGCGGCCUUCUGGCUCGGUACUGACGCUGAGGCACGAAAGCCAGGGGAGCGAACGGGAUUAGAUACCCCAGUAGUC
Molecule: ribosomal RNA, 466 nt
Filed under: uncultured bacterium
Lineage: Bacteria
Description: partial 16S ribosomal RNA
Rfam family: Bacterial small subunit ribosomal RNA
Source: RNAcentral